AUUAAAGACCAAUGCCCUUCGGGGCUCAAUGGUGAAUCAUGAUAACUAAACGAAACGCAUCGCCUUGCGCUGGCGAUGGUUCAUUCGAAUUUUGCCCUAUCAACUUCGAUGGUAGGAUAGAGGCCUACCAUGGUGUCAACGGGUAACGGGGGAAUUAGGGUUCUAUUCCGGAGGAGGGAGCCUGAGAACGGCUACCACAUCCGAAGGAAGGCAGCAGGGCGCAAAUUAUCCAAUGGGGACACCCUGACGAUAGUGACGAAUAAUACUGAUAUAGGGCUCCUUUGGGUCUUAUAAUUGAAUGAGUACAAUACAAACACCUUAACGAGGAACAAUUGGAGGGCAAGGUCUGGUGCCAGCAGCCGCGGUAAUUCCAAGCUCCAAUAGCGUAAAUUAAAGUUGUUGCAGUUAAAAAGCUCGUUGUUAAACCUUGGGUCUGGCGAUCUGUCUUCCUCACGGUUUGCGGGCUCGGUCGGGCCUUUCCUUCUGAGGAAUCCUAUGCUCCUUGCUUGAGCGUAGC
Molecule: ribosomal RNA, 517 nt
Filed under: uncultured Macentina
Lineage: Eukaryota; Fungi; Ascomycota; Eurotiomycetes; Verrucariales
Description: bacterial SSU rRNA
Rfam family: Eukaryotic small subunit ribosomal RNA
Source: RNAcentral